This is a long non-coding RNA of Vicia villosa (hairy vetch), 1185 nucleotides long. RefSeq lists it as uncharacterized. The transcript is spliced from 4 exons. The record is from RefSeq and is a predicted model, not a curated record. NCBI's taxonomy places the organism in Eukaryota, Viridiplantae, Streptophyta, Magnoliopsida, Fabales, Fabaceae.
CCCCUUCAUAUGGCUGUCUAUUGGAAUACAUUUCUCAUUUCCCAAGUUUUUCUUUUUCCACGCACAAUAACAGUUGAAAUUUAUUAUUGUUUCUCAAUUUUUUUCAGGAUAAAGUUCCAAUUUGAAUCUAGGUUUCUCAUUCAGCCAUUACUCUGCGACGCUUGAGCUUCUCCAAGAUUUGUUGAAAGAGGCGAGUGAAGACAAAAUCGAAGAGAAAAUCGGAGACAAUAAAUUUCAGAGAAGUUGUUGCGUGGAUGUUUAAAGGUUUGGAUCGUUGAAGUUUUGAUGAGUUGACGAAGAAGACGCUGACUCUGCUCAUAUAUUCGAGGUUGUCGUUAUUGUUGGUGUUGCUUUGCGGGUUCUGGAAAUCGACGUAUGCAAGUUCUGGAAAUCGAUUGGAUCCUAUCACAACCCAUCGAAAUGUUGUAGCUUCUUUGUUUGCAGUUAUAAUAUCGAGUAGCUCACAAACUGGAAUUCUGCUCUGAUUAUUCAACUGUCGCAAGAUAUCAGUUCAGGUAGGGCUGAUUGGAACGAAUUAUCUGAUACAGAUGGAGUGAAGCCGGUCUAUCGCACAAGCUACCAAGAUGAGACGAUAGCCAGCUGGAGCAACGUCGAGGCAUAAGUCACGGCCAAUUCCAGAAGAAGUGCAAGUAACAAGAAAAUUGAAUACCUAAUUGAUUAGCAUUCCAUCUCUCAAGCAGUACAAAAUGAACCUGGACAGUAACUAUGCAUGGCGGCGGAUGGAAAGACACCGUCGUCCGACAGUGUUGGAUUCGACAGGAACUGGUGUAGCUGGCUGAACACAAUUGGUACUGAUGGAAAUGGUCUAAAUAAACAACUGUGUAAAGGUUACAUGUCUCAUUUGCAUCCUCUCCUACAAUUUGAGUUUGUGUUUGUGUUUCUGCAAACAUAUAGGCGAUUGCAUUAUUUGGUACGUGAACUUCAUCAAAUAUCCACCGAAAGCAAUCGCUAAGGUUCACUUCUUUAUUUCUGUUAUAGUAGUAUUAAUCUUCGACGAGAGUGUUAUGUAAUUAGUGUUUUAUGUGGAUAUGUAGUUGGCAGCAGUUCCAAUUUAUUUUUGAAAAUUAUGAAGCAGAUAUCAAGUCAAACAUGAUAAUUGUUGUCAAAGCUCUCCAGCCACUUCUCGAUUCAAAACCGGCUGGACCUAGCUCUAAUGCUUGACAU